This 225-nucleotide ribosomal RNA is filed under the name uncultured Aeromonas sp. Its description in RNAcentral is "partial 16S ribosomal RNA". It matches the Rfam family "Bacterial small subunit ribosomal RNA", at positions 568 to 792 of the family's 1533-position model. Lineage: Bacteria; Pseudomonadati; Pseudomonadota; Gammaproteobacteria; Aeromonadales; Aeromonadaceae. The record is from RNAcentral.
CACGCAGGCGGUUGGAUAAGUUAGAUGUGAAAGCCCCGGGCUCAACCUGGGAAUUGCAUUUAAAACUGUCCGGCUAGAGUCUUGUAGAGGGGGGUAGAAUUCCAGGUGUAGCGGUGAAAUGCGUAGAGAUCUGGAGGAAUACCGGUGGCGAAGGCAGCCCCCUGGGACAAUACUGACGCUCAGGCACGAAAGCGUGGGGAGCAAACAGGAUUAGAUACCCGCGUA